RNAcentral lists this unclassified non-coding RNA (246 nucleotides) under air metagenome. Its description in RNAcentral is "partial contains small subunit ribosomal RNA, internal transcribed spacer 1, and 5.8S ribosomal RNA". The stretch from base 1 to 46 matches the Rfam family "Eukaryotic small subunit ribosomal RNA", at positions 1786 to 1831 of the family's 1831-position model. The record is from RNAcentral.
AAGUCGUAACAAGGUCUCCGUUGGUGAACCAGCGGAGGGAUCAUUACCGAGUUAUACAACUCCCAAACCCAAUGUGAACCUUACCAUUCUGUUGCUUCGGCGGGACUGCCCCGGGGGCCUCGUGCACCCGGAUCCAGGCGCCCGCCGGAGACCCAAAACUCUUCUGUUUUUUAUUGGCAUUAGUCUGAGUAACGCCGCAAGGCAAAAAAUGAAUCAAAACUUUCAACAACGGAUCUCUUGGUUCUG